GGUCUCUCUCCCUUUCUCCUCCUAUCAUUAUAGAUAACUGUGAUGAUCCACUAGCAUCCCUGCUCUCUCCAAUGGCUUUUUCCAGUUCCUCAGAUCUCACUGGCACUCACAGCCCAGCUCAACUCAACUGGAGAGUUGGAACUGGCGGUUGGUCCCCAGCAGAUUCCAAUGCUCAACAGUGGCUCCAGAUGGACCUGGGAAACAGAGUAGAGAUUACAGCAGUGGCCACGCAGGGAAGAUACGGAAGCUCUGACUGGGUGACGAGUUACAGCCUGAUGUUCAGUGACACAGGGCGCAAUUGGAAACAGUACAAACAAGAAGACAGCAUCUGGGUAGGACAUCUUUUUCCUUCCAAUGAAUAAAACUGAGAU
Long non-coding RNA from Rhinopithecus bieti (black snub-nosed monkey), 371 nucleotides. The record is from Ensembl. NCBI's taxonomy places the organism in Eukaryota, Metazoa, Chordata, Mammalia, Primates, Cercopithecidae.